Molecule: ribosomal RNA, 391 nt
Filed under: uncultured bacterium
Lineage: Bacteria
Description: bacterial SSU rRNA
Rfam family: Bacterial small subunit ribosomal RNA
Source: RNAcentral
GACGAACGCUGGCGGCGUGCUUAACACAUGCAAGUCGAGCGGUAAGGCCCUUUCGGGGGUACACGAGCGGCGAACGGGUGAGUAACACGUGGGUGACCUGCCUUUAGCUCUGGGAUAAGCCUGGGAAACUGGGUCUAAUACCGGAUAUGACCCUAUGGCGCAUGCUGUGGGGUGGAAAGCCUUGUGCGGCUAGGGAUGGGCCCGCGGCCUAUCAGCUUGUUGGUGGGGUGAUGGCCUACCAAGGCGACGACGGGUAGCCGGCCUGAGAGGGCGACCGGCCACACUGGGACUGAGACACGGCCCAGACUCCUACGGGAGGCAGCAGUGGGGAAUCUUGCGCAAUGGGCGAAAGCCUGACGCAGCGACGCCGCGUGAGGGAUGACGGCCUCGG